CAGUAGCCGCGGUAAUACGAAGGGUGCAAGCGUUACUCGGAAUUACUGGGCGUAAAGCGUGCGUAGGUGGUUGUGUAAGACAGGUGUGAAAUCCCCGGGCUCAACCUGGGAAUGGCAGUGGAUACUGGCUCGCUAGAGUGUGUCAGAGGAUGGUGGAAUUCCCGGUGUAGCGGUGAAAUGCGUAGAGAUCGGGAGGAACAUCAGUGGCGAAGGCGGCCAUCUGGGACAACACUGACGCUGAGGCACGAAAGCGUGGGGAGCAAACAGGAUUAGAUACCCCAGUAGUCCCUGUCUCUUAUAC
This 301-nucleotide ribosomal RNA is filed under the name uncultured bacterium. Its description in RNAcentral is "partial 16S ribosomal RNA". It matches the Rfam family "Bacterial small subunit ribosomal RNA", at positions 509 to 807 of the family's 1533-position model. The record is from RNAcentral.